RNAcentral lists this transfer RNA (74 nucleotides) under Acidobacteriota bacterium. RNAcentral's name for it is "Acidobacteria bacterium (mine drainage metagenome) tRNA-Pro". It matches the Rfam family "tRNA". From Rfam's summary of the family: Transfer RNA (tRNA) molecules are approximately 80 nucleotides in length. Lineage: Bacteria; Pseudomonadati; Acidobacteriota. RNAcentral also lists the same sequence under 1 other name. The record is from RNAcentral.
CGGGGCGUAGCGCAGCUUGGUAGCGCGUCAGGCUGGGGGUCUGAAGGCCAUGGGUUCGAAUCCCGUCGUCCCGA